RNAcentral lists this ribosomal RNA (433 nucleotides) under uncultured bacterium. RNAcentral describes it as "partial 16S ribosomal RNA". It matches the Rfam family "Bacterial small subunit ribosomal RNA", at positions 29 to 507 of the family's 1533-position model. The record is from RNAcentral.
AACGAACGCUGGCGGCAUGCCUAACACAUGCAAGUCGAACGAGACCUUCGGGUCUAGUGGCGCACGGGUGCGUAACGCGUGGGAACCUGCCCUUAGGUUCGGAAUAACUCCCCGAAAGGGGUGCUAAUACCGGAUAAUGUCUUCGGACCAAAGAUCUUUCGCCUUUGGAUGGGCCCGCGUUGGAUUAGCUAGUUGGUAGGGUAAAAGCCUACCAAGGCGACGAUCCAUAGCUGGUCUGAGAGGAUGAUCAGCCACACUGGGACUGAGACACGGCCCAGACUCCUACGGGAGGCAGCAGUGGGGAAUAUUGGACACUGGGCGAAAGCCUGAUCCAGCAAUGCCGCGUGAGUGAUGAAGGCCUUAGGGUUGUAAAGCUCUUUUACCCGGGAUGAUAAUGACAGUACCGGGAGAAUAAGCACCGGCUAACUCCGUG